UACGAAUGGGGCAAGCGUUGUUCGGAAUCACUGGGCUUAAAGCGUGCGUAGGCGGCCAUGCAAGUCAGAAGUGAAAUCCCCGGGCUUAACCCGGGAAUUGCUUUUGAAACUGCACGGCUCGAAUCCGGGAGAGGUCAGGGGAAUUCCCAGUGUAGAAGUGAAAUUCGCAGAUAUUGGGAGGAACACCAGUGGCGUAGGCGCCUGACUGGACCGGCAUUGACGCUGAGGUACGAAAGCGUGGGGAUCAAACAGG
RNAcentral lists this unclassified non-coding RNA (253 nucleotides) under uncultured Alphaproteobacteria bacterium. RNAcentral describes it as "contains 16S-23S intergenic spacer region". It matches the Rfam family "Bacterial small subunit ribosomal RNA", at positions 524 to 776 of the family's 1533-position model. The record is from RNAcentral. Lineage: Bacteria; Pseudomonadati; Pseudomonadota; Alphaproteobacteria.